AGGACGAACGCUGGCGGCGUGCUUAACACAUGCAAGUCGAGCGGAAAGGCCCUUCGGGGUACUCGAGCGGCGAACGGGUGAGUAACACGUGAGCAACCUGCCCUUAGCUCCGGGAUAGCUCCGGGAAACCGGAAUUAAUACCGGAUACGACCACGGCCGACAUCUGCUGUGGUGGAAAGGAUUCCGGCUAAGGAUGGGCUCGCGGCCUAUCAGCUAGUUGGUGGGAUACGGCCCACCAAGGCGACGACGGGUA
This 253-nucleotide ribosomal RNA is filed under the name uncultured bacterium. RNAcentral's name for it is "partial small subunit ribosomal RNA". It matches the Rfam family "Bacterial small subunit ribosomal RNA", at positions 26 to 285 of the family's 1533-position model. The record is from RNAcentral.